GUGAAUCAUCGAAUUUUUGAACGCAAAUUGCACUCUCCUCGGAGAGUAUGUCUGUUUGAGGGUCAGCCUAUAAAAAAUAAACAUCGUUGCUGUUUCGCGGUGGCGUUCGUCGGAAAUUGGGUCAUCUUAAAUAUGUCGGCUUUAAGCGACUUAAAAUUUUCUUUUUGGUUCCAUGAUCGUUUAUAAGAUUUAUUUAUUUACACGUUUAAGGUAUCGUUUUUUAU
This 224-nucleotide unclassified non-coding RNA is filed under the name Glomus sp. RNAcentral's name for it is "partial contains 5.8S ribosomal RNA and internal transcribed spacer 2". The stretch from base 1 to 65 matches the Rfam family "5.8S ribosomal RNA", at positions 84 to 154 of the family's 154-position model. Lineage: Eukaryota; Fungi; Glomeromycota; Glomeromycetes; Glomerales; Glomeraceae. The record is from RNAcentral.